RNAcentral lists this ribosomal RNA (247 nucleotides) under uncultured Lactobacillus sp. RNAcentral describes it as "partial 16S ribosomal RNA". It matches the Rfam family "Bacterial small subunit ribosomal RNA", at positions 796 to 1041 of the family's 1533-position model. Lineage: Bacteria; Bacillati; Bacillota; Bacilli; Lactobacillales; Lactobacillaceae. The record is from RNAcentral.
CAUGCCGUAAACGAUGAGCGCUAGGUGUUGGGGACUUUCCGGUCCUCAGUGCCGCAGCAAACGCAUUAAGCGCUCCGCCUGGGGAGUACGACCGCAAGGUUGAAACUCAAAGGAAUUGACGGGGGCCCGCACAAGCGGUGGAGCAUGUGGUUUAAUUCGAAGCAACGCGAAGAACCUUACCAGGUCUUGACAUCCUGCGCUACACCUAGAGAUAGGUGGUUCCCUUCGGGGACGCAGAGACAGGUGG